This 392-nucleotide ribosomal RNA is filed under the name uncultured bacterium. RNAcentral describes it as "bacterial SSU rRNA". It matches the Rfam family "Bacterial small subunit ribosomal RNA", at positions 30 to 424 of the family's 1533-position model. The record is from RNAcentral.
AUUGAACGCUGGCGGCAUGCCUUACACAUGCAAGUCGAACGGCAGCACGGGAGCAAUCCUGGUGGCGAGUGGCGAACGGGUGAGUAAUAUAUCGGAACGUGCCCGGUCGUGGGGGAUAACGUAGCGAAAGCUACGCUAAUACCGCAUACGAUCUACGGAUGAAAGCGGGGGAUCGCAAGACCUCGCGCGAUUGGAGCGGCCGAUAUCAGAUUAGGUAGUUGGUGAGGUAAAGGCUCACCAAGCCGACGAUCUGUAGCUGGUCUGAGAGGACGACCAGCCACACUGGGACUGAGACACGGCCCAGACUCCUACGGGAGGCAGCAGUGGGGAAUUUUGGACAAUGGGCGCAAGCCUGAUCCAGCAAUGCCGCGUGCAGGAUGAAGGCCUCGGUU